GGGAUGACCAUUUGAAUACAGGAUAUUAAUACUUUUAACAACCAUUUUUCCAAUUACUUCAGUAUAAAUAAUGUGUCUCUGAAAGAAUAACGUGUCUCUA
This is a long non-coding RNA of Sapajus apella (tufted capuchin), 100 nucleotides long. RefSeq lists it as uncharacterized. The transcript has 3 exons. The record is from RefSeq and is a predicted model, not a curated record. Lineage: Eukaryota; Metazoa; Chordata; Mammalia; Primates; Cebidae.